UACGUAGGUGACCAGCGUUGUCCGGAUUUACUGGGCGUAAAGAGCGCGCAGGCGGUCGUUCAAGUCGAGUGUGAAAGCCCCCGGCUCAACUGGGGAGGGUCACUCGAUACUGAUCGACUUGAAGGCAGGAGAGGGAAGCGGAAUUCCCGGUGUAGUGGUGAAAUGCGUAGAUAUCGGGAGGAACACCAGUGGCGAAGGCGGCUUCCUGGCCUGUUCUUGACGCUGAGGCACGAAAGCUAGGGGAGCAAACGGG
This 253-nucleotide ribosomal RNA is filed under the name uncultured bacterium. RNAcentral describes it as "partial 16S ribosomal RNA". It matches the Rfam family "Bacterial small subunit ribosomal RNA", at positions 524 to 776 of the family's 1533-position model. The record is from RNAcentral.